ACUGCUUCUUAGGGGCACAGCAGGUGUGGCUACUGUGUCACAUGUGAACUAGGUGGCAGAUAGAGGCUAUGUCUAGAUUCAGUGUUUGGACCAGCGAACAACUGAAUGAUUAGUAGCCUAAAUUU
Rattus norvegicus (Norway rat) is the source of this 125-nucleotide small nucleolar RNA. Ensembl annotates it as small nucleolar RNA SNORA17. The record is from Ensembl. NCBI's taxonomy places the organism in Eukaryota, Metazoa, Chordata, Mammalia, Rodentia, Muridae.